GACGUAGGUGGCGAGCGUUACUCGGAUUCACUAGGCGUAAAGCGCGUGUAGGCGGAUGCCUAAGUCCGUUGUGAAAUUUCCCGGCUCAACCGGGAAGGGUCAAUAGAUACUGGGUGUCUUGAGUGGGGCAGAGGAAACCGGAAUUCCCGGUGUAGCGGUGAAAUGCGUAGAUAUCGGGAAGAACACCAGCGGCGAAAGCGGGUUUCUGGGCCUUCACUGACGCUGAGACGCGAAAGCUAGGGGAGCAAACAGGAUUAGAUACCCGCGUA
Molecule: ribosomal RNA, 269 nt
Filed under: uncultured prokaryote
Description: partial 16S ribosomal RNA
Rfam family: Bacterial small subunit ribosomal RNA
Source: RNAcentral